GAAGCUGAGUGGUAAGAUAAUAAAGCUGCUUCAUUAAGACACCGCCCUUUCACGGCGGUAACACGGGUUCGAAUCCCGUACGGGUCA
This 87-nucleotide transfer RNA is filed under the name Bacillus amyloliquefaciens. RNAcentral's name for it is "tRNA-Glu". The stretch from base 28 to 87 matches the Rfam family "tRNA". Rfam says of the family: Transfer RNA (tRNA) molecules are approximately 80 nucleotides in length. Their secondary structure includes four short double-helical elements and three loops (D, anti-codon, and T loops). Further hydrogen bonds mediate the characteristic L-shaped molecular structure. tRNAs have two regions of fundamental functional importance: the anti-codon, which is responsible for specific mRNA codon recognition, and the 3' end, to which the tRNAs corresponding amino acid is attached (by aminoacyl-tRNA synthetases). tRNAs cope with the degeneracy of the genetic code in two manners: having more than one tRNA (with a specific anti-codon) for a particular amino acid; and 'wobble' base-pairing, i.e. permitting non-standard base-pairing at the 3rd anti-codon position. The record is from RNAcentral. Lineage: Bacteria; Bacillati; Bacillota; Bacilli; Caryophanales; Bacillaceae.